RNAcentral lists this small RNA (391 nucleotides) under Pongo abelii (Sumatran orangutan). RNAcentral describes it as "processed transcript". The record is from RNAcentral. Lineage: Eukaryota; Metazoa; Chordata; Mammalia; Primates; Hominidae.
AAGAUUCAAACAACCAACCCUGAUUUCCUGCUUCUCCUUUUCAUGAGUGUUCCUGUGGUCUCUGCACCUCCUUUCUUGUGUAAUGUUUAACAGCAGCAAAAUUAAAACGUAAGUUCCAUGCAGCAGUCCUCAAGGCCACGAUAGCAACUGCUGCUGGUGGUGCCCGACGGGGAGGGGGCUGCCAAACUAUGCAUCUGACCAAGGACUAAUAUCCAGAAUCUACAAGAACACAAACAACUCAACAAGAAAAAACAAUCCCAUUAAAAAGUGGGCAAAGGACAUAAACAGACAUUUUCCAAAGGAAGACAUACAAGUGGCCAAGAAACAUAUGAAAAAAUGCUCAACAUCACUAAUCACCAGAUAAAUGCAAAUUAAAACCACAAUGAGAUAC